Paramuricea clavata is the source of this 283-nucleotide non-coding RNA. The record is from the annotation of a GenBank genome assembly. Lineage: Eukaryota; Metazoa; Cnidaria; Anthozoa; Malacalcyonacea; Plexauridae.
GGCAUUUUAUAAUUCAAUUACAAUAAAAAUGACUUGCAUCAUCGGAAAACGUACAAAAAACCGCAUAUAAGACUUUUAAACAGUUUUUUUUUAUUUUUCAAAUAGUCUUUAAGUUAUUGCUGUUUUAAAUGUAAAAAUUGGACCAAAAUGUCGCAAUAAGUACUGGGUACUAGGUCAAAAACCCGUUUUUGACAGCGUAUAACUCGAAAACAAUAUUAGAUAUAAAAAAACUGUUUAAAUGUCUUAUAUGUAGGUUUUUGUAAGCUUUCUGAUGAUGCAAGUC